This is a long non-coding RNA of Rattus norvegicus (Norway rat), 1748 nucleotides long. RefSeq lists it as uncharacterized. NCBI's taxonomy places the organism in Eukaryota, Metazoa, Chordata, Mammalia, Rodentia, Muridae. The record is from RefSeq and is a predicted model, not a curated record.
GGCUGCAAGAGAGACUGGACCCAGGAUGCCCCGGAUUGGGCCCUACCAGCAGGGCAGUUAAAGGGUCUUUUCUUGUUGAUAGGAACGGCCAGUGCCUGGACCCCACCCUCCCCCACUCCCUUUUAAUUCAAUGGCUACGUGGGGGCUUCUUUGAUGGAGGCUUUGAAGUCGGUGGCUUUGAGAUUACUCUUCCUCUGUGACCUUGACCACCAGCCAUGAGUGCUUCUCCGACAAGCGAGACGUGGAUUCCUGGGAUACUCAGAGUGCACGUGUGUAAUCUCAGAGCUCCUGUGGAAAGGUGGAGAUCUCUCUGUCAUUGACUUCAACAUACAGACGGGAGCACAGUUGUCAUCUGAGAGGCUUCAUCCAAAGCCAAUGGGAAGAGAUGCAGAGACCCACAGCAAAAUAUUAGGCGGAACUCGGGGAGUCUUGUGGAAGAGUCUGGGAAUGGACUGAGGGAUCUGAAGGGGUCAAGGACACCAUGGGAAGACCUACAUAGCUAACUGAUCCCUGCCUGUGGGGGCUCACAGAAACUGAACCACCAGCCAAAGAGCAUACAUGGACCUAGGCCCCAUACAUGUAUGUAGCCGAUGUUCAGUUGGGUCUCCAUAUGGGUACCCCAACAUUUGGAAUGAGAACUAUCUCUGACUCAGACUCUGUUGCCUGCCUUUGAAUCUCUUUCCCCUAGCUGGGCUGCCCUGUCUGGCCUCAGUGGACUGGAUGUGCUUAGUUCUGAGAGUCUUGAUGUGCCAUGGCAGGUUGGUAUGGGGGAGUCUCCCCUCUCUGAGGAGAAGGGAAGGGUGCAUGAAAGGGGGUGUGAGGGUAGGACUGGGUGGAAAGAAGGGAGGGAGGCUGGGAUCAGGAUAUAAAAUGAGUAAAUAACUUAAUUAGUGGAUAAAACCUAUUUUAUGCACGUGAAUGUUUACUUUCAUGAAUGUAGGUGUAACAUUUGGUGCCUGUAGAGUUCAGAACAUGCACGGCAUUGGAUCUUCUGGAACUGGAAUUACACAUGGUUUUGAGCCAUUGUAUGGGUGCUGGGAACCAAACUUUCUACAAGCAUAGCCAGUGCUCUUAACCACUGAGCCAGCUCUCUGGAGAGACAUGGAAAGUUGAUUUUAAGAUCAAUAGAUGAAUUAAUUACACUUAGAAAAUUCUGAAGCAAAGAACAAAGAGAAGUGGAGUAUUUAAUUUCAAAAUCUUAAUAAUGAAAAGACUAUGACCUUAUGCAUACAUGCCAUUCCUAGAAAAAAAAUAGAGUAUUCUGAAAGAAAAUGAAAUAGAUAUAUCAACAACACUAUCUCAAAUGAGAGGGGAAAGAUAAGUUAUUAAAUAAAGUUGAUUAGAUCUAGCAGAUCCUCUCCCCAGGCCUCAAACUAGGAUGAAUUCCAAAUGGAUCUAAGCUUAAGCAUAAGAUAUAAAACCACAAAAACACUAAAAGAAAAUAUGGAACGAUUCCAUUACAAGCUUGGACGGGGAAAAGAGACUUCUAAAUAUAACUACAAAUUCAAAAAAAAAUUAGAUUGUUAGGCUUGAGCACAUGAAAUUCAAAGAAAAACUUGAUCAUGAGGACAUAUUAGUUAACAAAGGAAAACAUGAAUGUUAAAUUCAAUUUAAAUCCUUACAAGUAUCCAGAAAAGGGUAUUAUUUCCAAGAGGAUGAUGAUGAUGAUAACAACAAUGAAGAAGAAGAAGAAGAAGAAGAAGAAGAAGAAGAAGAAGAAGAAGAAGAAGAAGAAGAAGAAGAAGAAG